GACGAACGCUGGCGGCGUGCCUAAUACAUGCAAGUUGAGCGAUGAAGCUUGGUGCUUGCACCAAUUUGAAGAGCAGCGAACGGGUGAGUAACGCGUGGGGAAUCUGCCUUUGAGCGGGGGACAACAUUUGGAAACGAAUGCUAAUACCGCAUAACAACUUUAAACAUAAGUUUUAAGUUUGAAAGAUGCAAUUGCAUCACUCAAAGAUGAUCCCGCGUUGUAUUAGCUAGUUGGUGAGGUAAAGGCUCACCAAGGCGAUGAUACAUAGCCGACCUGAGAGGGUGAUCGGCCACAUUGGGACUGAGACACGGCCCAAACUCCUACGGGAGGCAGCAGUAGGGAAUCUUCGGCAAUGGACGAAAGUCUGGCCGAGCAACGCCGCGUGAGUGAAGAAGGUUUUCGGAUCGUAAAACUCUGUUGGUAGAGAAGAACGUUGGUGGGAGUGGAAAGCUCAUCAAGUGACGGUAACUACCCAGAAAGGGACGGCUAACUACGUG
RNAcentral lists this ribosomal RNA (497 nucleotides) under uncultured bacterium. Its description in RNAcentral is "partial 16S ribosomal RNA". It matches the Rfam family "Bacterial small subunit ribosomal RNA", at positions 28 to 507 of the family's 1533-position model. The record is from RNAcentral.